ACGGCGAGUGAAGCGGCAAAAGCUCAAAUUUGAAAUCUGGUACCUUCGGUGCCCGAGUUGUAAUUUGGAGAGGGCAACUUUGGGGCCGUUCCUUGUCUAUGUUCCUUGGAACAGGACGUCAUAGAGGGUGAGAAUCCCGUGUGGCGAGGAGUGCGGUUCUUUGUAAAGUGCCUUCGAAGAGUCGAGUUGUUUGGGAAUGCAGCUCUAAGUGGGUGGUAAAUUCCAUCUAAAGCUAAAUAUUGGCGAGAGACCGAUAGCGAACAAGUACAGUGAUGGAAAGAUGAAAAGAACUUUGAAAAGAGAGUGAAAAAGUACGUGAAAUUGUUGAAAGGGAAGGGCAUUUGAUCAGACAUGGUGUUUUGUGCCCUCUGCUCCUUGUGGGUAGGGGAAUCUCGCAUUUCACUGGGCCAGCAUCAGUUUUGGUGGCAGGAUAAAUCCAUAGGAAUGUAGCUUGCCUCGGUAAGUAUUAUAGCCUGUGGGAAUACUGCCAGCUGGGACUGAGGACUGCGACGUAAGUCAAGGAUGCUG
RNAcentral lists this ribosomal RNA (528 nucleotides) under Saccharomyces cerevisiae (brewer's yeast). Its description in RNAcentral is "LSU rRNA". It matches the Rfam family "Eukaryotic large subunit ribosomal RNA", at positions 86 to 628 of the family's 3401-position model. Lineage: Eukaryota; Fungi; Ascomycota; Saccharomycetes; Saccharomycetales; Saccharomycetaceae. The record is from RNAcentral.